GCACACACUUUGUAAACUGAAAGUAGAAGUUCAGCUUUUUCUUUUGAGUAGUGAAUAGCACGUAGUGAAAUUUUUUGAUUUCAUUUUGCGCGGUGACCAAUUUUUAGGCGGGCUCUAAAUUUUUUAGGUUUUUUUUUUUUUUUUUUUUCAUUAUUUUUUAUUCGAUAAAAUUCUAGUACUGUUGCUUAAGUUUCUCUCUUAUGAUUUUUCCAUGUGGCUACUUAAUUUUAAAAAUACACUUUUAUUCAUGAGAAAAAAGCCACGUAAUAAAAUCUUAAGUGAAGAAUAUGAGGAAUAACAUCUAAGAAUUGUAGCUAAGUUUUACCCUUCUUUGUUUGUGUGAACAAACCACUGUUACUCUCUCUUUCUCCUCCCAUAGACAGACCCACGCCUCUCAGCCUCUCCCAAAAAGACUGGUUAUAAUGCUAGUGGUUCAGAUUCAGAUGAAUUGAAGGGUGAUUCUUAGCAAACCCUUUAGGCCUGUAAGUCCGAAACAAUCAAAUAUAUGGGAUUGGUGGCAAAAAGAUAGCUUUUGUGGGACUACUUGAACUCAAAUAAUUUUUUGUAAAGUUUGGAAGCUAAGACAUCAUUUGUAUAUAAAUGGUUGUAAUUACUUUGUGAACAUCUUUAUUGCAUUUUUAGAUUGUAUGGAUGUUUUUUUUUAUGGAUUUGGUUAGAAAUGAAUGGAUGUUUGUUUUUAUGGAUUUGGUUAGAAAUGAA
Long non-coding RNA from Quercus robur (English oak), 720 nucleotides. RefSeq lists it as uncharacterized. NCBI's taxonomy places the organism in Eukaryota, Viridiplantae, Streptophyta, Magnoliopsida, Fagales, Fagaceae. The record is from RefSeq and is a predicted model, not a curated record. The transcript has 3 exons.